RNAcentral lists this ribosomal RNA (821 nucleotides) under uncultured Bacteroidota bacterium. Its description in RNAcentral is "bacterial SSU rRNA". It matches the Rfam family "Bacterial small subunit ribosomal RNA", at positions 60 to 887 of the family's 1533-position model. The record is from RNAcentral. Lineage: Bacteria; Pseudomonadati; Bacteroidota.
AGUCGAGGGGUAUAGGUUUUCGGACCUAGAGACCGGCGCACGGGUGCGUAACGCGUAUGCAAUCUACCUUUCACAGAGGGAUAGCCCAGAGAAAUUUGGAUUAAUACCUCAUAGUAUAACGACUCGGCAUCGAGAUGUUAUUAAAGUCACAACGGUGAAAGAUGAGCAUGCGUCCCAUUAGCUAGUUGGUAUGGUAACGGCAUACCAAGGCGACGAUGGGUAGGGGUCCUGAGAGGGAGAUCCCCCACACUGGUACUGAGACACGGACCAGACUCCUACGGGAGGCAGCAGUGAGGAAUAUUGGACAAUGGGCGCAAGCCUGAUCCAGCUAUGCCGCGUGCAGGAUGACGGUCCUAUGGAUUGUAAACUGCUUUUGCACAGGAAGAAACAACUCUACGUGUAGAGUCUUGACGGUACUGUGAGAAUAAGGAUCGGCUAACUCCGUGCCAGCAGCCGCGGUAAUACGGAGGAUCCAAGCGUUAUCCGGAAUCAUUGGGUUUAAAGGGUCCGUAGGCGGUCUUAUAAGUCAGUGGUGAAAUCUCCCCGCUCAACGGGGAAACGGCCAUUGAUACUGUAGGACUUGAAUUAUUAGGAAGUAACUAGAAUAUGUAGUGUAGCGGUGAAAUGCUUAGAGAUUACAUGGAAUACCAAUUGCGAAGGCAGGUUACUACUAAUGGAUUGACGCUGAUGGACGAAAGCGUGGGUAGCGAACAGGAUUAGAUACCCUGGUAGUCCACGCCGUANACGAUGGAUACUAGCUGUUGGAAAGCAUUUCAGUGGCUAAGCGAAAGUGAUAAGUAUCCCACCUGGGGAGUACGUUU